CCACUCAUAUUUGUAGUAAAAUUUUUUAAAUAUUUUACAUAAACAAAUUACAAAAAAGACGAAGGAAUGAACAACUCGAUCCACGUGAUGUUCUUGUCUCCCAUCCAAAAACUCCUCUAAAAAUUAUGUUUAAUAACUAUAUAUAUAGGGAAAAGGAAAAAAUAAGCUUUAAAACCUGGAGCACACCCUCGCUACAGAUCGCGCAUUGCGAGUUCCAUCUCGUUGUAACCCUGGCGUCUCUAGAUCUACUGCACGCCUCCAUCUCGCUGUACGUGACGCGAGCUUGAACUCUCGCGUCGCCUGCUGCUACUUCAUUUACA
Molecule: long non-coding RNA, 320 nt
Filed under: Nicotiana benthamiana
Lineage: Eukaryota; Viridiplantae; Streptophyta; Magnoliopsida; Solanales; Solanaceae
Description: long non-coding RNA (NBEN_LNC008983)
Source: RNAcentral